RNAcentral lists this ribosomal RNA (583 nucleotides) under Listeria monocytogenes. Its description in RNAcentral is "bacterial SSU rRNA". It matches the Rfam family "Bacterial small subunit ribosomal RNA", at positions 212 to 787 of the family's 1533-position model. Lineage: Bacteria; Bacillati; Bacillota; Bacilli; Caryophanales; Listeriaceae. The record is from RNAcentral.
CUAUCGCUUACAGAUGGGCCCGCGGUGCAUUAGCUAGUUGGUAGGGUAAUGGCCUACCAAGGCAACGAUGCAUAGCCGACCUGAGAGGGUGAUCGGCCACACUGGGACUGAGACACGGCCCAGACUCCUACGGGAGGCAGCAGUAGGGAAUCUUCCGCAAUGGACGAAAGUCUGACGGAGCAACGCCGCGUGUAUGAAGAAGGUUUUCGGAUCGUAAAGUACUGUUGUUAGAGAAGAACAAGGAUAAGAGUAACUGCUUGUCCCUUGACGGUAUCUAACCAGAAAGCCACGGCUAACUACGUGCCAGCAGCCGCGGUAAUACGUAGGUGGCAAGCGUUGUCCGGAUUUAUUGGGCGUAAAGCGCGCGCAGGCGGUCUUUUAAGUCUGAUGUGAAAGCCCCCGGCUUAACCGGGGAGGGUCAUUGGAAACUGGAAGACUGGAGUGCAGAAGAGGAGAGUGGAAUUCCACGUGUAGCGGUGAAAUGCGUAGAUAUGUGGAGGAACACCAGUGGCGAAGGCGACUCUCUGGUCUGUAACUGACGCUGAGGCGCGAAAGCGUGGGGAGCAAACAGGAUUAGAUACCC